CAGGGAGACAACAAAAUGUUAAAUAUUAAUUUUGUCACCUUAGGUCGAUCGGUAUCUCACAUUCUUAAUUUAUUAAGAUUUUUAUUUCCUAAGUUUUUUCUAGGUCACACCCAUUAUUUUCCCUGGGCCAUUAGCUCAGGUGGUUAGAGCGCACCCCUGAUAAGGGUGAGGUCCCUGGUUCAAGUCCAGGAUGGCCCAUAUCUCUAUGUUGGGGGUAUAGCUCAGUUGGUAGAGCGCCUGCUUUGCAAGCAGGAUGUCAGCGGUUCGAGUCCGCUUACCUCCACUGAUUACCACCUCUUCCAUAAUUUAAAGAAGGGAAAUUUUUGAGUUGUGAUCACAUUCUGAACGAAUCUAGCUUCCUAAUAUUUUUAUUAAGAUGCUGGACUCAUUGAAUUAAUUUUCAUUGUUUUCAGAGAACCUUGACAACUGCAUAGAUUAUUUUUAAAGACAAUAAGCAUCUUUAAUGAUGCAGAUUUAUUAUUUGUGCGAAUGCAUUAAAUAACAAUUCUAUUAAGCUGAUGCUUCAAAUUUUUGAAGUUAUU
Molecule: transfer RNA, 542 nt
Filed under: uncultured cyanobacterium
Lineage: Bacteria; Bacillati; Cyanobacteriota
Description: partial 16S-23S ribosomal RNA intergenic spacer
Rfam family: tRNA (bases 211-283)
Source: RNAcentral